RNAcentral lists this ribosomal RNA (469 nucleotides) under uncultured bacterium. RNAcentral describes it as "partial 16S ribosomal RNA". It matches the Rfam family "Bacterial small subunit ribosomal RNA", at positions 28 to 507 of the family's 1533-position model. The record is from RNAcentral.
GACGAACGCUGGCGGCGUGCUUAACACAUGCAAGUCGAACGGUGAAGCGAGUGCUUGCACUCGUGGAUCAGUGGCGAACGGGUGAGUAACACGUGAGUAACCUGCCCAUCACUCUGGGAUAAGCACUGGAAACGGUGUCUAAUACUGGAUACGACCAACCCUUGCAUGGGGUGUUGGUGGAAAGAUUUAUCGGUGAUGGAUGGACUCGCGGCCUAUCAGCUUGUUGGCGGGGUAAUGGCCCACCAAGGCGACGACGGGUAGCCGGCCUGAGAGGGUGACCGGCCACACUGGGACUGAGACACGGCCCAGACUCCUACGGGAGGCAGCAGUGGGGAAUAUUGCACAAUGGGCGAAAGCCUGAUGCAGCGACGCCGCGUGAGGGAUGGCGGCCUUCGGGUUGUAAACCUCUUUCAGCAGGGAAGAAGCGAAAGUGACGGUACCUGCAGAAGAAGCACCGGCUAACUACGUG